GAUAUACUAAGACAAACAUUUGACUGACGUUAGCUACCCACCAUAGCUAACUGUUCCGACUUAUGUAAAGAUUCGACUGAAAGACAAGACUUAGGAACGAAACCCUUAAUUUAAGAAGUUUGCCUUUGAAAGGCCUGGGUAGGGACUAGUGGGGGGUCAGGGAAGGAGUACAGUUAGAAUACUUUAUAUACAUUACAAGAGACACGUUAUUUCAAUAAUUUAUUGAUCUGUCCUCUUUUGUCUGUGAGCCAUUGUUUCCAAGCCAUUUUUAAAUGUUUCGGAAGAAGAAAAUCUGUGUCUGUGAGGUGUCACAAUGUGAGGUAGAACAUUGCUGCUACCUUCCACCAUAUAAUCAAUAGUAUCUGUAAAAUAACACUGACAGCAGUAGCAGAUAGAAAGUAAAAAAUACCAAACUGAAAGGUUUUCGCAAAUAUCGAAAGGGCUGGGUCAUUCACUUGUCCCGUUUGUAACUCUUGCCAAUAUCUGAUGUUUCGUACGUUUACGUUUGUUGGGAGUUGAACAUCUGCACCCGAAACACGGGGACUCCUCUGCAUCCUCUUCGAGCUGCACAGACCAAUGACCAGACACCUCUGAUGUCAUCGCUGGAUUCCACAGCCGUGGCAACUUCAUGGGUCGUGGCGAUGACGGCACCGGUGCCAGGUUGUUCCUGCCCAGCAGACGCUCAUUCCUCCUAUAGCACCUCAUCCAUGAAGCUGGUGUCCAGCCUCU
Molecule: long non-coding RNA, 729 nt
Organism: Scleropages formosus (Asian bonytongue)
Lineage: Eukaryota; Metazoa; Chordata; Actinopteri; Osteoglossiformes; Osteoglossidae
Exons: 3
Source: RefSeq, a predicted model, not a curated record